GCCUCGGCCACGGGUAUCGUUCACAGACUAGGUGAUUGUGGGAGGGUUACCCUUCUAAGAUAUAGUCGGUUACAGUGGGAAACCUCUGUAUUUAUAGCGUCCGUAGGUGAACCUGCGGAAGGAUCAUUAAAAAUGAAGCCGGGAAACCGGUCCUUCUAACCCUUGAUUAUCUUAAUUUGUUGCUUUGGUGGGCCGCGCAAGCACCGGCUUCGGCUGGAUCGUGCCCGCCAGAGGACCACAACUCUGUAUUAAAUGUCGUCUGAGUACUAUAUAAUAGUUAAAACUUUCAACAACGGAUCUCUUGGUUCUGGGGCAUCGAUGAAGAACGCAGCGAAAUGCGAUAAGUAAUGUGAAUUGCAGAAUUCAGUGAAUCAUCGAAUCUUUGAACGCACAUUGCGCCCUCUGGUAUUCCGGAGGGCAUGCCUGUUCGAGCGUCAUAAUGACCAAAUCACCCUCGUGGUGGACUUGGAGCUGGCCUGUACAGGCCUCUCUUAAAACUAGUGGCGGUGCUCUUAAAGCUCUACGCGUAGUAAUUUUUCUCGCUACAGAGUCUUGAUUGUACUUGCCAACAACCCCGAUUAUUUUAAGGUUGACCUCGGAUCAGGUAGGGAUACCCGCUGAACUUAAGCAUAUCAAUAA
This 639-nucleotide ribosomal RNA is filed under the name Helotiales sp. OTU110 AN-2016. RNAcentral describes it as "eukaryotic LSU rRNA". The stretch from base 282 to 437 matches the Rfam family "5.8S ribosomal RNA". The record is from RNAcentral. Lineage: Eukaryota; Fungi; Ascomycota; Leotiomycetes; Helotiales.